Molecule: non-coding RNA, 72 nt
Organism: Bos taurus (domestic cattle)
Lineage: Eukaryota; Metazoa; Chordata; Mammalia; Artiodactyla; Bovidae
Source: Rfam
UCCCUGGUGGCUUAGAUGGUAAAGCAUCUGUCUACAAUGCAGGAGACCCGGGUUUGAACCCUUGGUCGGGAA